GACGAACGCUGGCGGCGUGCUUAACACAUGCAAGUCGAACGGUGAAGCGCCUUCCUUUUUGGUGGGUGUGGAUGAGUGGCGAACGGGUGAGUAACACGUGAGUAACCUGCCCCCUUCUUCUGGAUAACCGCAUGAAAGUGUUGCUAAUACGGGAUAUUCUGAGUCUGUCGCAUGAUGGGUCUGGGAAAGAUAUUGUUUCGGUGGGGGAUGGGCUCGCGGCCUAUCAGCUUGUUGGUGGGGUGAUGGCCUACCAAGGCGGUGACGCGUAGCCGGCCUGAGAGGGUGGACGGUCACACUGGGAAGGAGACACGGCCCAGACUCCUACGGGAGGCAGCAGUGGGGAAUAUUGCACAGUGGGCGCAAGCAUGAUGCAGCGACGCCGCGUGAGGGAUGGAGGCCUUCGGGUUGUGAACCUCUUUCGCCAGUGAAGCAGGCCUGCCUCGUUUGUGGGUGGGUUGACGGUAGCUGGAUAAGAAGCGCCGGCUAACUACGUG
This 494-nucleotide ribosomal RNA is filed under the name uncultured bacterium. RNAcentral describes it as "partial 16S ribosomal RNA". It matches the Rfam family "Bacterial small subunit ribosomal RNA", at positions 28 to 507 of the family's 1533-position model. The record is from RNAcentral.